This 83-nucleotide signal recognition particle RNA is filed under the name Candidatus Babelota bacterium. RNAcentral's name for it is "signal recognition particle sRNA small type". It matches the Rfam family "Bacterial small signal recognition particle RNA". Rfam says of the family: The signal recognition particle (SRP) is a universally conserved ribonucleoprotein involved in the co-translational targeting of proteins to membranes. Archaeal SRP consists of a 7S RNA and homologues of the eukaryotic SRP19 and SRP54 proteins. The record is from RNAcentral.
UUCGGGGCAAGUUUGUUUAACUGCUUAAUUGGUCAGGUCCGGAAGGAAGCAGCCAGAGUGGUUGGCAGCUGUGCCCCGUCUUA